CCCAGCGCGAGGGAGAGUGGCCUGGAGCGAUGCUGUUGUGUGGGCUUCGUGGCGGCGGUGCGUGGAGGGCGCGUGUGGGGCGAGUGAGGAUGCGCGAGUGUGUGAGUGAGUGGGCGUGCAAGGCGAGUGUGUGCGCCAGCCCUGCGCCCCUCUCCCCGCCUACACCUUGAUCUUAUUUGAUCGGGUUGUGACUUCAGCCCUGCCGGUCCGACCCGAAAUGAAAAGCUUCCCUCCUGCGAAGCCCCUUGCUCGGGGCGCUGUGCAGCGAGGCCUCUCAGGCGGCGGCCAUGCGGCGGUCCCGGAAGUCCCGGGGCCCGGCGCUCAGAAAUGAUGAAUUGAUCAGAUAGACGAGGCCGGGCUUGUCCCGCGCCAUUGAUUAUCGAGGCGAUUCUGAUCUGA
This is a non-coding RNA of Erinaceus europaeus (western European hedgehog), 399 nucleotides long. Lineage: Eukaryota; Metazoa; Chordata; Mammalia; Eulipotyphla; Erinaceidae. The record is from Rfam.